CAGCCGUAAACUAUGCGCGUUAGGUGUAUCGGUGACCACGAGUUACCGAGGUGCCGAAGGGAAACCGUGAAACGUGCCGCCUGGGAAGUACGGUCGCAAGGCUGAAACUUAAAGGAAUUGGCGGGGGAGCACCACAACAGGUGGAGCCUGCGGUUUAAUUGGACUCAACGCCGGGAAGCUCACCGGAUAAGACAGCAGAAUGAUUGCCGGGCUGAAGACUCUGCAUGACUAGCUGAGAGAUGGUGCAUGGCGUCAGUGACU
This 261-nucleotide ribosomal RNA is filed under the name uncultured archaeon. Its description in RNAcentral is "partial 16S ribosomal RNA". It matches the Rfam family "Archaeal small subunit ribosomal RNA", at positions 748 to 1008 of the family's 1478-position model. The record is from RNAcentral.